AGUGAACGCUGGCGGUAGGCCUAGCACAUGCAAGUCGAACGGCAGCACAGUAAGAACUUGCUCUUACGGGUGGCGAGUGGCGGACGGGUGAGGAAUACAUCGGAAUCUACUUUUUCGUGGGGGAUAACGUAGGGAAACUUACGCUAAUACCGCAUACGACCUACGGGUGAAAGCAGGGGAUCUUCGGACCUUGCGCGAUUGAAUGAGCCGAUGUCGGAUUAGCUAGUUGGCGGGGUAAAGGCCCACCAAGGCGACGAUCCGUAGCUGGUCUGAGAGGAUGAUCAGCCACACUGGAACUGAGACACGGUCCAGACUCCUACGGGAGGCAGCAGUGGGGAAUAUUGGACAAUGGGCGAAAGCCUGAUCCAGCAAUACCGCGUGGAUGAAGAAGGCCUUCGGGUUGUAAAGCCCUUUUGUUGGGAAAGAAAAGCAGCAGGUUAAUACCCCGCUGUUCUGACGGUACCCAAAGAAUAAGCACCGGCUAACUUCGUG
This 492-nucleotide ribosomal RNA is filed under the name uncultured bacterium. RNAcentral's name for it is "partial 16S ribosomal RNA". It matches the Rfam family "Bacterial small subunit ribosomal RNA", at positions 29 to 507 of the family's 1533-position model. The record is from RNAcentral.